Gallus gallus (chicken) is the source of this 932-nucleotide long non-coding RNA. The record is from Ensembl. Lineage: Eukaryota; Metazoa; Chordata; Aves; Galliformes; Phasianidae.
CAAAACGCUAAGCAGGCCCUGCUGCUGCGUGCCUGUGAGACCUCACAAGCGCAGGACAAGGAGGAUGCUGUGCUGUUCAGGGCACUCAAUUUGGAGAAAGAGCCUCCUGGAUUUCCAGCAGGGUGAUGCUGGAUGUGUCCUGCUUCACAUCUCACCCAUAGGAGACCUCAUUUUAGGGGCUGCAGGCAUAGGCACCAUCCUGGUCUUCUCCAGCCCCCGGCGCAGCUUCAUGCAGCAGAGCAGCGAGGUACCAAACACCUCCAUCCCUCUCCCUAAGGCAAAACAACGGCUCCAGCAGCAGGCAGAGGAUAGCACCAGGCAGCAGAGAGCAGCCGUACAUCAGAGACUGUGAGGAGCACAGCUGUGGUGGCCAUCAAAGCCAUACUUUCUCCAGCAUGGGAAGCUGCAAGAAGACAAGAAGGAGGCAGAGAUAAGGGAAUGCUUCACUCAUGAGGGUCUCAAAGCACCAGGGAACGGUUAUGGUCUGGAAGAACCAUAUAACAAGAGUUACCCGAGGAACUCUUACGGGCUGAGGUCUCACAGCCAAACUUGGAGUCUCCUGCUGAGAUGCUUUAUCUCUUUAUAGCCAAGCAUUGGGCUGAGGUCAAGGGUCCCAUAGGUGCAGUCAGCCCACCGGACCCCUCAGCAGAUGACUGCUGCUGAGGGCUUUAUUAGUUCCUCCAGUAAUGGUGAUGAAUUAGCCUGCUUCACACACUCCUCUCAUCACUUUUGAUUUAUAUCCCUCACGCUUUGUAUGCCGAAAGCAAAACCAUUGAUGAGAUACUUCAAGGAGAGCAUGACUGUAGGUGCAAGUGCCUUUUUCAUGUCUUCGAAGCUCAAGCUGCAGAAUCACAGCAGCAAGAGCAACAUGAAGGUGAGUGAGGUCCUUCCAUCCUGAUCCUGACUCCAUCCCCUGCUCAGCACUAGCAAGG